AUUGAACGCUGGCGGCAUGCCUUGCACAUGCAAGUCGAACGGUAACGGGCCUUCGGGUGCCGACGAGUGGCGAACGGGUGAGUAAUACAUCGGAACGUGCCCGAUCGUGGGGGAUAACGAGGCGAAAGCUUUGCUAAUACCGCAUACGAUCUACGGAUGAAAGCCGGGGACCGCAAGGCCUUGCGCGGACGGAGCGGCCGAUGGCAGAUUAGGUAGUUGGUGGGAUAAAAGCUUACCAAGCCGACGAUCUGUAGCUGGUCUGAGAGGAUGAUCAGCCACACUGGGACUGAGACACGGCCCAGACUCCUACGGGAGGCAGCAGUGGGGAAUUUUGGACAAUGGGCGCAAGCCUGAUCCAGCCAUGCCGCGUGCAGGAUGAAGGCCUUCGGGUUGUAAACUGCUUUUGUACGGAACGAAAAGCCUUCUUUUAAUACAGGAGGGUCAUGACGGUACCGUAAGAAUAAGCACCGGCUAACUACGUG
This 482-nucleotide ribosomal RNA is filed under the name uncultured bacterium. RNAcentral's name for it is "partial 16S ribosomal RNA". It matches the Rfam family "Bacterial small subunit ribosomal RNA", at positions 30 to 507 of the family's 1533-position model. The record is from RNAcentral.